This 463-nucleotide ribosomal RNA is filed under the name soil bacterium 5V-07. RNAcentral describes it as "bacterial SSU rRNA". It matches the Rfam family "Bacterial small subunit ribosomal RNA", at positions 24 to 484 of the family's 1533-position model. The record is from RNAcentral.
UCAGAUUGAACGCUGGCGGCAGGCCUAACACAUGCAAGUCGAGCGGUAGAGAGGUGCUUGCACCUCUUGAGAGCGGCGGACGGGUGAGUAAUGCCUAGGAAUCUGCCUGGUAGUGGGGGAUAACGCUCGGAAACGGACGCUAAUACCGCAUACGUCCUACGGGAGAAAGCAGGGGACCUUCGGGCCUUGCGCUAUCAGAUGAGCCUAGGUCGGAUUAGCUAGUUGGUGAGGUAAUGGCUCACCAAGGCGACGAUCCGUAACUGGUCUGAGAGGAUGAUCAGUCACACUGGAACUGAGACACGGUCCAGACUCCUACGGGAGGCAGCAGUGGGGAAUAUUGGACAAUGGGCGAAAGCCUGAUCCAGCCAUGCCGCGUGUGUGAAGAAGGUCUUCGGAUUGUAAAGCACUUUAAGUUGGGAGGAAGGGCAUUAACCUAAUACGUUAGUGUUUGACGUACCGACAG